Molecule: ribosomal RNA, 253 nt
Filed under: uncultured bacterium
Lineage: Bacteria
Description: partial 16S ribosomal RNA
Rfam family: Bacterial small subunit ribosomal RNA
Source: RNAcentral
UACAGAGGGGGCAAGCGUUAUUCGGAAUUAUUGGGCGUAAAGGGCGCGUAGGCGGCUUUGCAAGUGACGGGUGAAAUCCCUCGGCUUAACCGAGGAACUGCCUGUCAAACUGCAUGGCUUGAGACCGGGAGAGGUGAGUGGAAUUCCCAGUGUAGCGGUGAAAUGCGUAGAUAUUGGGAGGAACACCAGUGGCGAAGGCGGCUCACUGGACCGGUACUGACGCUGAGGCGCGAAAGCGUGGGUAGCAAACGGG